RNAcentral lists this ribosomal RNA (714 nucleotides) under uncultured Hebeloma. RNAcentral's name for it is "eukaryotic LSU rRNA". The stretch from base 297 to 450 matches the Rfam family "5.8S ribosomal RNA". Lineage: Eukaryota; Fungi; Basidiomycota; Agaricomycetes; Agaricales; Cortinariaceae. The record is from RNAcentral.
AGAGGAAGUAAAAGUCGUAACAAGGUUUCCGUAGGUGAACCUGCGGAAGGAUCAUUAUUGAAUGAACUUGGUGUGGUUGUCGCUGGCCCUCUUGGGGGCAUGUGCACACCUACCAUCCUCAUCUCUCCACCUGUGCACCUCUUGUAGAUUUGGAAUUGAUUAUCCGAGGCAACUCGGUCGUGAGGACUGCUAGCACUUAGCCRGCUUUCUUUGCAAUUCCAGGUCUAUGUUUUUCAUAUACCCCWUUGUAUGUAACAGAAUGUAUCAUUGGGCCCUUGUGCCUAUAAACCUUAUACAACUUUCAGCAACGGAUCUCUUGGCUCUCGCAUCGAUGAAGAACGCAGCGAAAUGCGAUAAGUAAUGUGAAUUGCAGAAUUCAGUGAAUCAUCGAAUCUUUGAACGCACCUUGCGCUCCUUGGUAUUCCGAGGAGCAUGCCUGUUUGAGUGUCAUUAAAUUCUCAACCAUUAUCAACUUUUGCUGAUAAUGGCUUGGAUGUGGGGGUCUAUUUUGCUGGCUUCUCAGAUAGUCAGCUCCCCUUAAAUGCAUUAGCCGGUGCCCCGSGUGGACUGUCUAUUGGUGUGAUAAUUAUCUACGCUAUAGACAUCUGCAAUCAUAUGGGUUUGCGCUGCUUCUAACAGUCUGUUGAUUCAGACAAUACAUGACAAUUUGACCUCAAAUCAGGUAGGACUACCCGCUGAACUUAAGCAUAUCAU